CGAAGCCGCGAGGUGGAGCGAAUCCCAAAAAAGACCGGUCUAAGUUCGGAUUGCAGGCUGCAACCCGCCUGCAUGAAGUCGGAAUCGCUAGUAAUCGCGAGUCAGCAUAUCGCGGUGAAUACGUUCCCGGGUCUUGUACACACCGCCCGUCACACCAUGGGAGUUGGCAACACCCGAAGCCGAUGAGCUAACCCGCAAGGGAGGCAGUUGUCUAAGGUGGGGUUGAUAACUGGGGUGAAGUCGUAACAAGGUAAC
RNAcentral lists this ribosomal RNA (255 nucleotides) under uncultured bacterium. Its description in RNAcentral is "partial 16S ribosomal RNA". It matches the Rfam family "Bacterial small subunit ribosomal RNA", at positions 1250 to 1500 of the family's 1533-position model. The record is from RNAcentral.